Molecule: ribosomal RNA, 511 nt
Filed under: uncultured beta proteobacterium
Lineage: Bacteria; Pseudomonadati; Pseudomonadota; Betaproteobacteria
Description: bacterial SSU rRNA
Rfam family: Bacterial small subunit ribosomal RNA
Source: RNAcentral
GAGUUUGAUCCUGGCUCAGAUUGAACGCUGGCGGCAUGCUUUACACAUGCAAGUCGAGCGGCAGCGCGGGGCAACCUGGCGGCGAGCGGCGGACGGGUGAGUAAUGCAUCGGAACGUAUCCCGUAGUGGGGGACAACCCAGCGAAAGCUGGGCUAAUACCGCAUACGCUCUACGGAGGAAAGUGGGGGACUCGCGAGGGCCUCACGCUGGGGGAGCGGCCGAUGUCCGAUUAGCUGGUUGGUGAGGUAAAGGCUUACCAAGGCGACGAUCGGUAGCUGGUCUGAGAGGAUGAUCAGCCACACUGGGACUGAGACACGGCCCAGACUCCUACGGGAGGCAGCAGUGGGGAAUUGUUCACAAUGGGCGCAAGCCUGAUGACGCAACGCCGCGUGGAGGAUGAAGGUCUUCGGAUUGUAAACUCCUGUUGCCCGGGACGAAUGGCUCCAACCUAAUACGUUGGAGUGUGACGGUACCGGGUGAGGAAGCCCCGGCUAACUCUGUGCCAGCAGCC